AGAUCCGCCCCUGGGACAAAGAUAUAAUGAACUACCAAGAAAGGCUGGGAAGUCUUAUGUUGAUGUCCGUUGAGGACGAUUUAUUGGAGGAGUUUGACGUAGAACUCGUUAAUUAAAGGGUUGUGGAUAUGGUUCCAAGAAGAAUGGAUUCAGUUUAGAUCUUUAAAAGUUAAAUUAAGUGUUUGUUAUUAUUAUAGCAUGCCAAUAGUUCUCAACUUUACUUGGUAUUUUAUGAGAAGUAGCCUAAUGCAAUGAUGAGAAUACAGAAAGUGGCGUCUAAUAAACCCAGAAUUAUCUAAUCAUAUUGGGAUUUUCUCUCUCCAACACCUUCGAGCUGGAAUGUGUGAGGCCUGUUUCAUAUGUACGUCCCAUUAUCGUCAAAUUUUAAUAAUUCAGACGAAUUCAACUGAACGACAUAAAUUCCACUGUAUAAUGCAUCGUAUCAAUGAUUUAAAUUCUUCUGAUAAAUUUAAUUCAUCUAUGUCGUUUUGUCUGUUAUGAUCAGACGGAUAAAACGUCUGUAGCGACAUCGUUUAAAUACUGACGUCAGAAUUAUGUUAAUGCGAGUUUCUGAUCCGGCUGUAGGUCAUAUUUUGUGCCAGUUUCUAAUUCAUGAUCCAGGGCCUAUAUUUAGUGCAGUAUUGAUUGAAAAGUGUGCUGCAGUUUUUAAUGCAAAAGUGUGAAUGUGCAGGAUUGAAAAUUUGAACUUUUUAGUUUUAACAUAGUGC
Non-coding RNA from Paramuricea clavata, 728 nucleotides. The record is from the annotation of a GenBank genome assembly. NCBI's taxonomy places the organism in Eukaryota, Metazoa, Cnidaria, Anthozoa, Malacalcyonacea, Plexauridae.